AAGAGUAAUAUUAUUAAACAAGAUUAAAAUAAAACUUAAUAUUAACAUCAUUAUCUGUCUUAAGUAUAUUAAUAUACAAUUCCAGUACUCCUAUAAAUAACAAAAUAGUAAAUAUAAUUAAAACUAUUACGAUUCAAUCGUCCUUUACCGCAAAAACGGUAAAGCAUUCUAAAAUUCUAAAUGUCAUUAAUGUCAAAACUGUCAUGUCUUUUUGAUAUGACAUGACAUUUAUUAGACAUUCAUAUUAUUAAUUCAACAAUUAUUACUGUAUUCCUUGUUAAAUUUGAAUUUCACGAAAUCAGAUCCAGAGCACCCUAUACAUAGCCACAAAUUCUAGAUUCCUUGCGUCCCUUCAGGCAGCCACACAUAAAUCCCUUUGUCUCAACGUCCUAUUUCACGGCAGCGGUUUGCUUAUCUGUCAGUUAUGUCAGAUGUAAAUCACGGUCCCAUUCGUCUAUGUGUAUUAUCUAUGUAGCACACAUUCUUGUCCGUCUCACUAUAUAGUAUAUAGUAACAUAAUUUAUUCAAUUCAUAAGAUUUACUUCAUGUUUUUUUAUCGGUCACAAAAUCCUGAUUAAAUUGUUGUUAUGAUUAUUAUUAUUAUUUUUAAAUUCAUAUAUUUCAGAUAAAAUAUAAAUUCUUAUUUAA
Long non-coding RNA from Bombyx mori (domestic silkworm), 648 nucleotides. RefSeq lists it as uncharacterized. The transcript is spliced from 2 exons. Lineage: Eukaryota; Metazoa; Arthropoda; Insecta; Lepidoptera; Bombycidae. The record is from RefSeq and is a predicted model, not a curated record.